RNAcentral lists this microRNA precursor (62 nucleotides) under Xenopus laevis (African clawed frog). RNAcentral's name for it is "Xla-Mir-19-P2a3_pre stem-loop". It matches the Rfam family "mir-19 microRNA precursor family", at positions 11 to 71 of the family's 79-position model. From Rfam's summary of the family: The hairpin precursors (represented here) are predicted based on base pairing and cross-species conservation -- their extents are not known. The record is from RNAcentral. Lineage: Eukaryota; Metazoa; Chordata; Amphibia; Anura; Pipidae.
AGUUUUGCAGGUUUGCAUCCAGCUGUUCUCGUGGCUUGCUGUGCAAAUCCAUGCAAAACUGA